CUCGCGCCCGGGUUGGGAGGCUGGGAUUGGUUGGUGGCUGGCGCCCAAGUGCCUUAAAAGAUAUGGGCUCAUGUGAGCUUAGGGCAUCUUCAGCAGCUUCUCUUCAAUUGGCCGCUUCAUCUCUGCCAUUGGAGCCCCGUGGGCACUGGGACCCGAGCAGUGCCGCAGGGCCAAAGCCACGGACUCCUGCCACCGGCGCCAUGGAAAAGCAGCCCAGCGAUCCGGACAUAGACCUUCUCAGCAGCACCCUGGAGACCUCGUGGCCAGCUGCUAGGCCGGAGGAGGCCCCCGAGGCCUUAAAGCGGCAGAGCCCUAAGAGCCCGGUGGGCAGCCCCCAGCGGAACAGUGGCCAAGGAGGCCCCAUCUCGAAGCCUGUGGGGCUGCCGCCAUGGUCUCUGCCCCAGCCCUCGCCCCCUCCCCCUUUCCUCGACGACCCCCCCUCCUUGGGCACCUCCGGGAUUAGGAGGCCCUUCUCCCGCGUUCAGAUCCCGCUGACUGAAUGCCGACCCCACGACUUCGGGACGGAAGUCACUGCCCUCACCUGCAGCCUCCAGGACCUGGGGCUCGGCCACCAGGCCCAGACCAGAUCUGGCCCGGCGCCCGAUCCCGAACGGAAUCCGGACCUCCAGCAGGAGCAGCCGCAGCCGCAGCCGCGCCGGGCUUCCUCUAGGAGACAGGAUGCCCAGCUGCCCGACAGGCCCCGGCCCCUUGGCUCGGUGGCCAAGUGCCCGUGUAAGAACAAGCCCCGCCGCCACCACCAUCUCCGUCGACACCUUCACCACCGUCGCCAUCUGUUCCUGGCGUCUCAUCUGGGCUUCUCUUCUUUUGAGACCUUCCCACGGGAGAGGAGGCAUGGAGGCCAAGAAUCGCAGCAACCAACGGUUCUAAUUAUCCUGAAGAAACAUUGACCUGUGAGACCCACCUCUGGUCCGGGGACUGGUGGUGCUGGCCCCUCCCCCUUCCCCCUUCACUAGGUGCCAUAGUGGUUAGAGUUGGGGUCUGGAGGGACCUAGAUUCUUGGCUUAGCCAGGCCUGAGCCCUGUGAGCUCUCCGUCCCGCGCCCCGCCCCGCCCCCAGGCCUCUGCUUUGUUUUGGGAUGGAACUGCUGUCCCUCCCACUCUUAAACUCCCCCCCCCUCCAUCUCCCACCCCCAUUUUUUAAAGUUUUUUCUUAGGAUGAGGUUGAGGCACCACCCUCUCCUCCUGGGAGCCUGGAAAACUUCCUCUAGUCUCCUUUCUUCUGUUACAUGCAAAAGAAAAUGAAUCUUUGUACAUAGUUUUUGUAAUGGCAUCUUAAUAAAUUGGAAAUGAUUACAGUGGGCGAGUCGGAG
RNAcentral lists this long non-coding RNA (1330 nucleotides) under Monodelphis domestica (gray short-tailed opossum). RNAcentral describes it as "lncRNA (ENSMODG00000033297.2)". The record is from RNAcentral. Lineage: Eukaryota; Metazoa; Chordata; Mammalia; Didelphimorphia; Didelphidae.